This 305-nucleotide long non-coding RNA is filed under the name Trifolium pratense (red clover). RNAcentral describes it as "long non-coding RNA (TPRA_LNC007393)". The record is from RNAcentral. Lineage: Eukaryota; Viridiplantae; Streptophyta; Magnoliopsida; Fabales; Fabaceae.
CUGAAAGCGUGAAAUCCGAACAAAUAAGAAAGUCAAAUUAGGUCACGCAAUAGCAAUAGCUAGAAGAAAAGAGAGCGGUGGCCGAAGAGGUUAGGGUAGAAGAAGCGGUGGAUGAAGCAUCUUGAAAUGGAAACAUUGUUGAAGAGUGAGGAAUUUCAUGGGGCAAAGAGUGAAAUUGGGAAAGUGAAAGUAGAAAAUAAGAAAAUUGGGAAAUCGUUUUAGGGUUUUGUGAGAAAGAUUUCGCGUACGAGAGAAUGAGAAGGAAAGGGUAUACAUUCUAAGUUAAGGGAUUUAACUACCGUUGA